RNAcentral lists this long non-coding RNA (208 nucleotides) under Hordeum vulgare. Its description in RNAcentral is "long non-coding RNA (HVUL_LNC012627)". Lineage: Eukaryota; Viridiplantae; Streptophyta; Magnoliopsida; Poales; Poaceae. The record is from RNAcentral.
UGCAGGGUGAUGGAUCGGAGCCGGAGGAGGUCAGCAGCGUGGCCGCCGACGCUGUACCUAUCAUGCACCCCGAUCCAGUACCUUUGCUAACGCGUAGCCACCUUUAAUCGUAGGGUCUCGUCAUGACCUACGGUCUGACGUGACUUGAGCUCCCUAGCCGGCUAGUCGCUUGACUAGCCAGCCGGGGCACGGCCGGCUCGCCCCUAGC